GUGCUUGCUUCAGCAGCACCUAUACUAAAAUUGGAACAAUACAGAGAAUAUUAGUAUGGCCCCUGCACAAGGAUGACAUGCAAAUACGUGAAGUAUAUUAUU
Molecule: small nuclear RNA, 102 nt
Organism: Heteronotia binoei (common prickly gecko)
Lineage: Eukaryota; Metazoa; Chordata; Lepidosauria; Squamata; Gekkonidae
Source: RefSeq, a predicted model, not a curated record